This 446-nucleotide ribosomal RNA is filed under the name uncultured soil bacterium. Its description in RNAcentral is "bacterial SSU rRNA". It matches the Rfam family "Bacterial small subunit ribosomal RNA", at positions 26 to 518 of the family's 1533-position model. The record is from RNAcentral.
AGAACGAACGCUGGCGGCAUGCCUAAUACAUGCAAGUCGAACGAACUCUUCGGAGUUAGUGGCGCACGGGUGCGUAACGCGUGGGAAUCUGCCCCUUGGUUCGGAAUAACAGUUGGAAACGACUGCUAAUACCGGAUGAUGACGAAAGUCCAAAGAUUUAUCGCCAAGGGAUGAGCCCGCGUAGGAUUAGCUAGUUGGUGAGGUAAAGGCUCACCAAGGCAACGAUCCUUAGCUGGUCUGAGAGGAUGAUCAGCCACACUGGGACUGAGACACGGCCCAGACUCCUACGGGAGGCAGCAGUAGGGAAUAUUGGACAAUGGGCGAAAGCCUGAUCCAGCAAUGCCGCGUGAGUGAUGAAGGCCUUAGGUUGUAAAGCUCUUUUACCCGAGAUGAUAAUGACAUAGUCGGAGAAAUAAGACCCCGGCUAACUCCGUGCCAGCAGCCGC